CGGCAACAGCUCAAAUUUGAAAUCUGGCUCUUUCAGGGUCCGAGUUGUAAUUUGCAGAAGAUGCUUUGGGUGAGGCACCGGUCCAAGUUCCUUGGAACAGGACGUCAUAGAGGGUGAGAAUCCCGUACGUGAUUGGUACCUUUGCUCGUGUAAAGCUCUUUCGAC
RNAcentral lists this ribosomal RNA (165 nucleotides) under Hyaloscypha sp. RNAcentral's name for it is "partial large subunit ribosomal RNA". It matches the Rfam family "Eukaryotic large subunit ribosomal RNA", at positions 99 to 261 of the family's 3401-position model. Lineage: Eukaryota; Fungi; Ascomycota; Leotiomycetes; Helotiales; Hyaloscyphaceae. The record is from RNAcentral.